GAUGAACGCUGGCGGCGUGCCUAAUACAUGCCAGUCGAGCGAACAGACGAGGAGCUUGCUCCUCUGACGUUAGCGGCGGGCGGGUGAGUAACACGUGGAUAACCUACCUAUAAGACUGGGAUAACUUCGGGAAACCGGAGCUAAUACCGGAUAAUAUAUUGAACCGCAUGGUUCAAUAGUGAAAGACGGUUUUGCUGUCACUUAUAGAUGGAUCCGCGCCGCAUUAGCUAGUUGGUAAGGUAACGGCUUACCAAGGCGACGAUGCGUAGCCGACCUGAGAGGGUGAUCGGCCACACUGGAACUGAGACACGGUCCAGACUCCUACGGGAGGCAGCAGUAGGGAAUCUUCCGCAAUGGGCGAAAGCCUGACGGAGCAACGCCGCGUGAGUGAUGAAGGUCUUCGGAUCGUAAAACUCUGUUAUUAGGGAAGAACAAAUGUGUAAGUAACUAUGCACGUCUUGACGGUACCUAAUCAGAAAGCCACGGCUAACUACGUG
RNAcentral lists this ribosomal RNA (497 nucleotides) under uncultured bacterium. Its description in RNAcentral is "partial 16S ribosomal RNA". It matches the Rfam family "Bacterial small subunit ribosomal RNA", at positions 28 to 507 of the family's 1533-position model. The record is from RNAcentral.